Molecule: ribosomal RNA, 378 nt
Filed under: uncultured bacterium
Lineage: Bacteria
Description: bacterial SSU rRNA
Rfam family: Bacterial small subunit ribosomal RNA
Source: RNAcentral
UAAGACGAACCGUGCGAACGUUAUUCGGAAUCAUUGGGCUUAAAGCGCGUGUAGGCGGAUUCGUGCGUCUGUCGCUGAAAUCCCCCGGCUCAACCGGGGAACGGGCGCGGAUACGACGAGUCUGGAGGGGCAUAGGGGGACCUGGAACUUCCGGUGGAGCGGUGAAAUGCGUUGAGAUCGGAAGGAACGCCCGUGGCGAAAGCGAGGUCCUGGAUGCCUACUGACGCUGAGACGCGAAAGCCAGGGGAGCGAACGGGAUUAGAUACCCCGGUAGUCCUGGCCGUAAACGAUGGGUACUGGAUAGGGGGCUCGCCGAUGGGCUCCCUGUCGUAGGGAAACCGUGAAGUACCCCGCCUGGGGAGUAUGGUCGCAAGGCUG